AUACGUAGGUGACAAGCGUUAUCCGGAUUUCCUGGGCGUAAAGGGCGUGUAGGCGGUCUUGCAAGUCAGAAGUGAAAUUCCUGAGCUCAACUCGGGCGCUGCUUCUGAAACUGCAGGACUUGAGUGCUGGAGGGGAUAGCGGAAUUCCUAGUGGAGCGGUAAAAUGCGCAGAUAUUAGGAAGAACACCGGUGGCGAAGGCGGCUAUCUGGACAGUAACUGACGCUGAGGCGCGAAAGCGUGGGGAGCAAACAGGAUUAGAUACCCUGGUAGUCCACGUUGUAAACGAUGAAUACUAGGUGUGGGGGGACUGACCCCCUCCGUGCCGCAGUUAACACAAUAAGUAUUCCACCUGGGGAGUACGGCCGCAAGGUUGAAACUCAAAUGAAUUGGCGGGG
RNAcentral lists this ribosomal RNA (396 nucleotides) under uncultured bacterium. RNAcentral's name for it is "partial 16S ribosomal RNA". It matches the Rfam family "Bacterial small subunit ribosomal RNA", at positions 523 to 918 of the family's 1533-position model. The record is from RNAcentral.